UAGAAUGGAUUGGACUAUUGCAUUCCCACCCUCACUAUAUUUUCUCUAGAAUAGUGUUGCUGAUUAUCGACCCAUAUUCCCUUGACUGUUCCCUAUGGUUUUAUAGUUUUGUUACCAUCCUAUUAAACAGAAAUAGUGUUUCUCCAUUACAAAUAUGAAAUAGAAAUCAAAUGCAAAAUGUUAGGGUCAGCUAAAGUCUCGUUUCUGCAACAUCCGGCUGUAUGUAUAAGCCUUGACUUAUGCUUUAUUUGAUCUGUGUGCAGAUGAGUCUCCGCCUUGACUGCAUUUUAGUGUAUGGGUGCCUGGAUAACCAAAUUUUUUGGGCAAUUAUCUUUCUUUCUAUUUUUUCUUAACACAUGUUUUCUACAUGUGCAGUAGUUAGAGAGCCAGUUAUCUGAAUAAUUUUCGACAGCUUGAUCUGGGUUUUGGAAAACAUUGCAAUUCCCUCUUUUGGUGCCUGAACAUUUUGUACUGACCGGACUGAUCUAUUUUAUUGUAAUUUUAUCUCUUUUUUACAGUCUUAAUUUACUCAUCUUUGGAUAUGAC
This 546-nucleotide long non-coding RNA is filed under the name Elaeis guineensis (African oil palm). RNAcentral's name for it is "long non-coding RNA (EGUI_LNC000554)". The record is from RNAcentral. Lineage: Eukaryota; Viridiplantae; Streptophyta; Magnoliopsida; Arecales; Arecaceae.